AGAAACUUUGUUCGCCUUGGAGAUUUCAUGGUUGCAGUUCGUCUGCAUUUGAUCUUCUCACAGACAAAAAGGAAGAAAGGAUGAGACCCACUGCACAAGGGGAAGAGAGGAACAGGAAAAGACAGGAAAAGGAAACAAACCCAGUCAUCUCACAUUCCUGGAGAAUUUCCUUUGUGACACUGACACUCAAUGUAAGAGUCCUGUAGGCUGAAAAAACAGGGGGUAGAUGUCUAUAAACCUUUUGGGAGUUACAGAUUGUUUAUGUGUCUCUUCCUGCUGGAAAUGUUG
Long non-coding RNA from Haemorhous mexicanus (house finch), 288 nucleotides. RefSeq lists it as uncharacterized. The record is from RefSeq and is a predicted model, not a curated record. The transcript is spliced from 3 exons. NCBI's taxonomy places the organism in Eukaryota, Metazoa, Chordata, Aves, Passeriformes, Fringillidae.